Long non-coding RNA from Oryzias melastigma (Indian medaka), 5423 nucleotides. RefSeq lists it as uncharacterized. Lineage: Eukaryota; Metazoa; Chordata; Actinopteri; Beloniformes; Adrianichthyidae. The record is from RefSeq and is a predicted model, not a curated record. The transcript has 5 exons.
CCAUUACUGACGCUUCCCGCGCCAUUCAGCGUGCACGCGCGACGGAAAGAGGCACGUAACCGUUGGGAGACUGUCUGGAGUCUGUCUGAAAUCGAUAAUUUUGGAAAAUGGAGUUUUGCGAUUUCCGUGAAUUGACGCAGACGCCGUUAGGUGGGAAGUGUAAUUUAUUUUAUUUUGCUGUCCUUUUCUUAUCAAAUUUUCGCCGACGAGUCACCCCGCUUAGCCGAAUAUUUAUCUUAUUUAUUUAUUUUAGAUAAAGGCUCUGAAAGUUUUUCUUCUGCAGUCUGGCAGCAGACAUGUCUUUAUGCUCAGGGGAUUUAUAGUUUCGUAUAGUUUGUCAUCCCUUCAUGCCUUCAGUCCAUAAGUUUUCCCACCAAAUUGGAUUGGAGGUGGGGAACUGGACGGACAUGGAAGUGAUACACAUCAGACGCACCCUACCUUAAGAGACCACGGCCAUCACUUUUCUGACCCAACUUUUCUGGCUAAGCUGCCCCAUGUGACCAGCGACGGUACAACUGUCUUCGGUUCCACCUGGAUACACAAUAGGACAUUUUCUUUCCCAUUCCCAGACUGGCUGCCACUUCCUAACAGCUCUAUUGCAAAGCAUCCCACAUGUGUUGUGCAGUGGGGAGGAUUUGCACAUACAGAGGGAGCUGGUUGUGGACUAGGAGGAAGAUGUCACACUAAAGAUGGGUUUCGGUGAUGAUGUUGCUGCUGUUGAUGCAGCAUCGAGCUCUCACUUUGUGUCUCUGUCAACUAUGAUCCGUAACCGCAAAGUGAGUGACAGGCCAAUCCCCGGGGAAGCAGGGGGCCUGAGGUGAGUCAGAUGUAUUCUUGACCUUGUCUAACUGUGUGUCAGCAACUAACACAAACUCAGUAAAGAGAAAGAAACACAAAUAAAAGUCCAGAAAUGACACGACUGUACAUGCUACAUCUUCAUCCAGCAUUUUGAAAAGCAAACAAAUCUACUCAAGCUAUGUGGGUUUUUUCAUUAUUUAUCUCUCAACUGAUGAGUUAUGAAAUUAUGAUUACAAAGCUCAUCAUAUUUUCAACAAGACCAUAAAUUGCUUUGUGUACUCCUGUGUUCCACUGAAGUGCUGAAUAUUUUACUACUGUAUGAAUGCUGCAAACCCGUUUGAGUCGUAAACAUACUUUACUCUCAACUUUUUUUAUCUAACAUGCAGAGAAACAUAAAAUGAUGUUGCUUUUUAUUUAAACAUGUCAGAAAAGUUGUGUUUUUGUGUUGACUUGAUUCAAACCUCUGUUGAGCCUUUGUGUGAUGGUUUUUGUUUGAAAGGAAUCAAACUUUUCCAAAACUAAACUUGGUUGGAAUUCUACUGAAUUCUUUCUACAAACUUUUUCUCUAUUUUUUUUAUCUUGUAAUUAAAUAAAAGUCUUGUUACCCAUGCCUGUCUUGUUUAAAUAAGUCAAAAUGUAAGUUAUUUUAUAUUCUAUUAAAAAGGGGGGAAAUUCAUAAAGACGUGUGUUUUUUUUUUACUUUUUUUUCUAUCGUCAAAACAUAAAAUAUUACUUUAAAUCAACAUAUUUUUGAUUGUAAUGACCUAACAUAUGGAUUAAUUCUGUAAGCAAAAAUAAAAAGGUAUGCAUUGAUGGAAAUUGUGAAGUUAAUGUUGCAUGAAUGCAAUAAAGUUUCACAUUUUUGCUUGAGUAAAUUGGGUAAAUGUGAUUUUUUUUUUUCCCUGAGCAUGUUUAUUGUCGUUGGGUAAUUUUCCCAAACUAAUCAUAAAACUGCAUCAAAAAAUAAAAAGAAAAGGGAGCUGAGUUUUAAAAUGAAACAAAUGAUGCAACUUGUGUAAUCGCAACUUAAAAUCAGAGGCUAAUUUUUUACAUAUUUUAUCUAGUCAUCAUGUUUGGUGUUUUUUUUUCUUUUCAUUUAGAUACUUUGUAGUAAAAUCUGUGUAGACCCAAAGCUUUUUCUACAACGUUUGCCAAAGUAAAGGCUCCUAAGUUUUGUCACCAAGCAUAAAAACAUCCAAGAAAUGAGGGAAAUAUUGAAAAGGUUUCUCUAAGUAUUUUUUUUUGUCCUAGUCUUCUUUUAAGUGAACUUCUUGAGCGUCUCUUUUUAGAAGUCACUCAAACACGGUGUGAGAAAUGAGUUGCCCGGGUUUGACUUUACCAAAAAGCAUCCCGUUCCUAUUGUCUGCCAAGUCAACUUCUGCAGGCCCCAGCGCCCUGACUUCCAUACAUGAGAGAUCAAGGGUUACCAAGGUGCUUUGGAGGAAGGAGAGCUCAAUGUGAGUGGGGACAAACCAGUCCAGAAAAUACUCAUUUCCUCUGCAUGUUUUGUGCCUUAGUGGGGAUUCAGAUGAACAGAUUUUUAUCCUCCCAUCACUGUUCCUAAUGAAAACUGUUGCUUCCCUUUGGAGGGGGGCUGUGGCUGCUACCUGUCGCCUGCUGUACAGUAUGCGGCUCGUUAAUUCUCCGAGUUUGGCCAAAAGAAAGUUUGUCCAGACUCUUGUUUAUCCGGUAGUACCAGACGGAGGCACCUCAUGUAGAAAAAAGGUAAAAGCAGUUCUGUCCACCUCUCAUUCUUGCCAAAAAAGUUCAGCCACUGAGCCACGGCAUUAACUUGUAUUCUAACAAGAUUAAAAUAUAUUCGUCCUGGGGAUUAGCAUAGUUAGGUGUCCUUUUGCCUCUUUUUUUUUGCCUGCGCUGGUGCGUUGACAGUGGGCUUUGAUCUGUGUUGCGAGGCAAGAGUCCUGGCUUGGACCUUACCAUUCGAGUGCCAAGUGUGAAAUUGGCCUGAUGUCAUCCCCAUUCUUCACCUUUUACAUCUUUCACCACUUUAAUUAUGUUUCCGCCACAAAGCCCAGGCACCUCUGAGCAGAUUCCACUCUGGCCAUAGGAAGCAUUUAGAAACUGUGGGUAAAUGACACAGUAGGGGAGGGGGAGGAUGGUCGGAGAGGUCAUAGCAGGAUGGGGCCCUUUUGUGUUUGGAGGUGGACAUUGAUAGUUUCCUGAUGGAUCCAACACUUCGAUUUUUACAGCAUGAGAACUCAGAAAAUUACAAAAAAUAUGUUCUCACAGUUUUGUUUUUGUGCUAAAGUCCAACUCUGAUCAUCUUUUCAUCUGUUUUUAAAACAUCUUUUAAUUAUAAUUAUGCAGUUUUUAGGCAAAAUCAUCAAAACCUGUCUCAUUAUCUUGGACAUAGUUCCUGCAGAGGGACAGGAGUUGUUUUUUAGAAAUUUGCAUCUUGAGUUGUUCAAAGUAAGCCUGCCUCUAUUUCCCAUCAUCCCUUUGUUUACACGCUCUCCCACUAGCUUACAGCCCAUUAUGAGUGCAAAAAAAAAAAAAUGGUGAGCAAUAUUGUAGCUAUCCAGCCGUACAAUUCUGAGCUAAACGGAGGAAAACAAAGACGUGUAUGGAUCAGAAUGGCUGUUGCAGGUCCUACAAGCCAUUUCCAAAUACAUUUUUUCAUAUGCUUCUGAUUUACAGUGAUUUGAAAAAACAAAAACUCAAUUUUGAGCUUAAUUUUCUUCACAAAUGUCACCCACCAUGAGAAAAUGCUGCAAGAUCACAUUAAAAACUCCAAAAACACAAUUUUCAUGGGAGUGGGUCUUUAAAUGAAGAACCAGAUGAGGUGGUUUGCACGUGAAUCUCACUUCCACAAAUGAGACUAAUCAUUCUCAGUUCCAGGAGGAGGUAUCCACGAAGCCUCGCCGCUUUGCAUCUCAUUUGUGCAUCAGUGUCCCUGUCUGAACUUCAGGCGGCUUCCUCUGCCACUGAAUAUUUUGAUGACGGUUCCUGUUGAUGAUCUGAAGGAAGCAUCAAAACAACAGGGGUGUGUGCAGCACAUGUGCGGACGAACAGAAAUGAAUGGAGUCUGGGGAUGUGUGUGUGCGCGCCCGUGUGCAUGGCCGGAAUGAAAUAAAAUGCAGUGAUUAGAUAUGUGUGUAAAGCAGAGAGCAUGAGUAUAAAGAGUGAGAAAGCUGUGUGUGGAGAAUGGGUUACUGAGGGGCGGGGAGUGGGGGAACCAGCCACCUGCAGCCAUGACGGGCUUUGACCUUCAUUGCUCUUUCCCUCUCCCUCCCUCCCUCUUCCUCUGCUCCCAUUUCUGCCUCGUGAUAGAAGCAAAGGCUCUUUUCAGAGGAGGAGAGGAAGACUGACCGUCUCGAAGACAGUGCUGGGAGCAGCCCCAUCCACUCCAAUGCUAGUCACUGGCCGUUAGACAUGGCGUUCAAAGACUAGCGGUGCAAGUAUGGAAAUGCAGAUAAGGCAUUGUUGAGGAAACAUGCCGGGGAAUUGUUCAAGGCUUUCCCUUGCAUAAUGUUUGGAUGCUUUUGCAAAUGUUUCAAUCUCAGAAACCCAUGAAUUUGAUCCUCCACGAAUCGGACUGGGAAGGUUUGCAGGGGAAGGGGUUAUUGUGCAAUGCAAAUGACUUCUCUGUGAUUGAAUUUGUGAAUAUUUCAUGCAUUUAUCUUUUAUGGACAGCACGUAAUGAAUUUGUUUCCAAAGUCCAGCUCAAGUCCAGCACUGAUUAAGGCUUACAUGUCCUUCUGCCGCCAGGACUCACUUCCAGGAGCAACACAAAGAGCACAGUCUUGUUUGCGUAUAAUCUUCAAGGUUUAUUUACUCUUCUUUUGCAGUUUUCAGGAGUCAGUUAAUUACACAAUUAAUACAUGAUACAAAGUAUGUACAUUUUUACCAAAGAAUACUCCAAACAUAAAAUAAAAAAUAGCAUUGUAUUCUACAACUCUGUGUUGUAAUUUUAUUUAAACAUGUUCAUAUAUAGAUAGAUAUACGCUGAUGAGUAAAUUCAUAAUGUCGUACCAGCAGUUUUUCAUAAAGGCAUUAAACUUGAGUAGUCUGCAUUUGAAGUAAUACUGCUUCUCUGAUUCGGCACAGUUCUGUUUCAUAAAAGGUUCCCACUUGAACUUUAAGGCAAAGUGUGUUUCGGUUUGGUGGAUUUUAAUUCACACACACUUUUUGCAGAUAUACAACAAAAGGAAAAAGAAAAGAAAAAUACUUUGAAAGGCAAAAAAGUCCACAAUUUGGUAUGGAUACAGUCUGAAACUUAGCUCAAUCAUACUUUUGUCAGGAGAGGACCAAAGUCUAUAAACACAGUUAUUUUCCCCAAGUACAACAAAUUGCAGCUUCCAUGCAAAGGCCCCAUAAACAAAUGUUCAUUCACAAAGAAAUAAAAUAAAAACAAAAAAACAGAGAAAAAGAGUAGUUAUUGCAAGAUAAACAAGCAGUGUAAACACCUCAGAUAUCUACUCUAAAGCAACACUGGUCAUUGGAUAGAUUUUUUUUCUCAAUAUAAUCUAUAUAAAUACACAUAUGAAGUCCUUUCAACAACAAUAAGCGGUUUCCAACAUUUGUUAUACAGUCACUGAUGGAUUUGCCUACUUUGUAUGAUAUAUGGAUAUGUCAAAAAAAGUUUAAUCUAGGAUUUCCUCCAA